This is a long non-coding RNA of Patella vulgata (common limpet), 295 nucleotides long. RefSeq lists it as uncharacterized. The transcript has 3 exons. The record is from RefSeq and is a predicted model, not a curated record. NCBI's taxonomy places the organism in Eukaryota, Metazoa, Mollusca, Gastropoda, Patellidae.
ACAAACUUGAAUUCACUUACCCGAAUUCACUGUCCACCGAAUCGGCAAUCCUUAGUCCCAAUGGAAAGAAGAGGGAACUGUCAGUCAUGCUGUUCAGCACCAACAAAAGUGACGACUCUGCAUGAAUUGUUCAACCAAACAUCCAUUUCAAACUCAUGGUAUUAAACAAAGAUGGCGAACUGUCCACCUGAGGGCAAAUCCCAGGAUUACCCAGUUCACGUCCAUGGUAACUGUAGUAAUGUUCAAACUGGAUCAAAUAACAACUUCAUUGUGGUCAGUUCACAGAUUGCGGAGG